This 301-nucleotide ribosomal RNA is filed under the name uncultured bacterium. RNAcentral's name for it is "partial 16S ribosomal RNA". It matches the Rfam family "Bacterial small subunit ribosomal RNA", at positions 509 to 809 of the family's 1533-position model. The record is from RNAcentral.
CAGUCGCCACGGUAAUACAGAGGGUGCAAGCGUUAAUCGGAAUUACUGGGCGUAAAGCGCGCGUAGGUGGUUUGUUAAGUUGGAUGUGAAAGCCCCGGGCUCAACCUGGGAACUGCAUCCAAAACUGGCAAGCUAGAGUACGGUAGAGGGUGGUGGAAUUUCCUGUGUAGCGGUGAAAUGCGUAGAUAUAGGAAGGAACACCAGUGGCGAAGGCGACCACCUGGACUGAUACUGACACUGAGGUGCGAAAGCGUGGGGAGCAAACAGGAUUAGAUACCCCUGUAGUCUGUCUCUUAUACAC